AUACGUAGGUGGCGAGCGUUGUUCGGAUUUAUUGGGCGUAAAGGGUCCGCAGGGGGUUUAUUAAGUCUGAUGUGAAAUCCCGAGGCUCAACCUCGGAACUGCAUUGGAUACUGGUAAACUAGAGUAUCGGAGAGGAAAGUGGAAUUCCAGGUGUAGCGGUGGAAUGCGUAGAUAUCUGGAAGAACACCAAGAGCGAAGGCAGCUUUCUGGACGAUUACUGACCCUCAGGGACGAAAGCGUGGGGAGCAAACAGGAUUAGAAACCCCGGUAGUCC
This 274-nucleotide ribosomal RNA is filed under the name uncultured bacterium. RNAcentral describes it as "partial 16S ribosomal RNA". It matches the Rfam family "Bacterial small subunit ribosomal RNA", at positions 523 to 796 of the family's 1533-position model. The record is from RNAcentral.